Molecule: long non-coding RNA, 585 nt
Organism: Homo sapiens (human)
Lineage: Eukaryota; Metazoa; Chordata; Mammalia; Primates; Hominidae
Source: Ensembl
UAAUUGCUGCCAAAAUCAUCACAAGCUGUACGUCAUCAAGGCUCCCUUUGCACUCCCAAGAAGAACUGUUCAUUUUAAACAAAAGUGAUGAGAAUUCCUCUGGAGGUGGGAACAGAGAAAACUUCAUGCUUGGUAAAGCACCUGAGGCACCCAUUACAAUCUGGGACAAGAUGAGGACAUCAACACUCAUGCUGUAUUCCACAUGGGAGGCCAAGUCAACUCAAGAUGAUUUUUAAGAGAUAUAAGAGCCAGGCAUGGUAGCUGAUACCUGUAAUCCCAGCACUUUGGGAGGCUGAGGUGGGAGGCUUACUUGAGUCCAGGAGAUCAAGACCAGCCUAGGCAACAAAGCAAGACCAAGACGCCUUCUCUACAAAAAAAUAAGAAAAUUAGCCUGGCAUGGCAGUGCACACCUGUGGUUCCAGCUACACUAGAAGCUGAAGGGGGAGGUUCACUUGAGCCCCGAGUUUGAGGCUGCAGUGAGCCACAUUAGUGCCACCGCACUAUAGCCUGGGUGACAGAGCAAAAGCCUGUCUCCAAAAAAAUAAAUAAAUAAAUAAAAGCUAUAAAUACUGCAAAGAGGCAAAA